RNAcentral lists this ribosomal RNA (700 nucleotides) under Halorubrum sp. A1FP17. RNAcentral's name for it is "bacterial SSU rRNA". It matches the Rfam family "Archaeal small subunit ribosomal RNA", at positions 32 to 735 of the family's 1478-position model. Lineage: Archaea; Methanobacteriati; Methanobacteriota; Halobacteria; Halobacteriales; Haloferacaceae. The record is from RNAcentral.
AAUGAGGACGAUUAGCCAUGCUAGUCGCACGAGUUCAGACUCGUGGCGAAUAGCUCAGUAACACGUGGCCAAACUACCCUUCGGAACACAAUACCCUCGGGAAACUGAGGCUAAUAGUGUAUACCAUACCACCACUGGAAUGAGUGGUAUGCCAAACGCUCCGGCGCCGAAGGAUGUGGCUGCGGCCGAUUAGGUAGACGGUGGGGUAACGGCCCACCGUGCCAAUAAUCGGUAUGGGUCAUGAGAGUGAGAACCCAGAGACGGAAUCUGAGACAAGAUUCCGGGCCCUACGGGGCGCAGCAGGCGCGAAACCUUUACACUGCACGACAGUGCGAUAGGGGGAUCCCAAGUGCACAGGCAUAGCGCCUGUGCUUUUCGGUACCCUAAGGCGGUACCAGAAUAAGGGCUGGGCAAGACCGGUGCCAGCCGCCGCGGUAAUACCGGCAGCCCAAGUGAUGGCCGAUCUUAUUGGGCCUAAAGCGUCCGUAGCUGGCCGCGCAAGUCCAUCGGGAAAUCCACCUGCUCAACAGGUGGGCGCCCGGUAGAAACUGCGUGGCUUGGGACCGGAAGGCGCGACGGGUACGUCCGGGGUAGGAGUGAAAUCCCGUAAUCCUGGACGGACCGCCGAUGGCGAAAGCACGUCGCGAGAACGGAUCCGACAGUGAGGGACGAAAGCCAGGGUCUCGAACCGGAUUAGAUA